CCUGGGUGGCUGCAGUGGGGAAUAUUGGACAAUGGGCGAAAGCCUGAUCCAGCCAUGCCGCGUGUGUGAAGAAGGUCUUCGGAUUGUAAAGCACUUUAAGUUGGGAGGAAGGGCAGUUACCUAAUACGUAAUUGUUUUGACGUUACCGACAGAAUAAGCACCGGCUAACUCUGUGCCAGCAGCCGCGGUAAUACAGAGGGUGCAAGCGUUAAUCGGAAUUACUGGGCGUAAAGCGCGCGUAGGUGGUUCGUUAAGUUGGAUGUGAAAUCCCCGGGCUCAACCUGGGAACUGCAUUCAAAACUGUCGAGCUAGAGUAUGGUAGAGGGUGGUGGAAUUUCCUGUGUAGCGGUGAAAUGCGUAGAUAUAGGAAGGAACACCAGUGGCGAAGGCGACCACCUGGACUGAUACUGACACUGAGGUGCGAAAGCGUGGGGAGCAAACA
RNAcentral lists this ribosomal RNA (442 nucleotides) under uncultured Pseudomonas sp. RNAcentral's name for it is "bacterial SSU rRNA". It matches the Rfam family "Bacterial small subunit ribosomal RNA", at positions 338 to 774 of the family's 1533-position model. Lineage: Bacteria; Pseudomonadati; Pseudomonadota; Gammaproteobacteria; Pseudomonadales; Pseudomonadaceae. The record is from RNAcentral.